Molecule: ribosomal RNA, 427 nt
Filed under: uncultured bacterium
Lineage: Bacteria
Description: partial 16S ribosomal RNA
Rfam family: Bacterial small subunit ribosomal RNA
Source: RNAcentral
UGGGGAAUAUUGCACAAUGGGCGCAAGCCUGAUGCAGCCAUGCCGCGUGUAUGAAGAAGGCCUUCGGGUUGUAAAGUACUUUCAGCGGGGAGGAAGGUGUUGUGGUUAAUAACCACAGCAAUUGACGUUACCCGCAGAAGAAGCACCGGCUAACUCCGUGCCAGCAGCCGCGGUAAUACGGAGGGUGCAAGCGGUAAUCGGAAUUACUGGGCGUAAAGCGCACGCAGGCGGUCUGUCAAGUCGGAUGUGAAAUCCCCGGGCUCAACCUGGGAACUGCAUCCGAAACUGGCAGGCUUGAGUCUUGUAGAGGGGGGUAGAAUUCCAGGUGUAGCGGUGAAAUGCGUAGAGAUCUGGAGGAAUACCGGUGGCGAAGGCGGCCCCCUGGACAAAGACUGACGCUCAGGUGCGAAAGCGUGGGGAGCAAACA